GAGCCAUAGCUCAGUCGGUAGAGCAACGGACUGAAAAUCCGUGUGUCCCUGGUUCGAUUCCAGGUGGCUCC
Molecule: transfer RNA, 71 nt
Filed under: marine eukaryotic metagenome
Rfam family: tRNA
About the family: Transfer RNA (tRNA) molecules are approximately 80 nucleotides in length.
Source: RNAcentral